Long non-coding RNA from Saccostrea cuccullata (small rock oyster), 370 nucleotides. RefSeq lists it as uncharacterized. Lineage: Eukaryota; Metazoa; Mollusca; Bivalvia; Ostreida; Ostreidae. The transcript has 3 exons. The record is from RefSeq and is a predicted model, not a curated record.
GGUACAAAGAUUAUUUUAUACUUAUAAUAUCGUCAUGUUUUGCUAUUCCUUGUAUACUAUUAGUCCAUUUGGAGAGAAAGUGUGCAGCCCUACAUAACAUUGUACUACAGCACGAGUCACUUCUAAAGGCCAGUAGUUUAAAGCAAGAUUCGUGGAAGGACCAGUAUCUCGAUGAAUUUCGAGAAGACUUAAAGAAGCUGAAACUGGAGCUUGAGUUACAAAGAAAGGAAACUGAUGAAUGUCUCAAAGACAGAAAAAAAUAUGAGGCUGAAUUUUUAAAAGUAUCAAGAAUUUGGGAGGAAAAUCAGAUACAUUUUAAACCAAAUCAAGAUGACAUAAAGAAGACCCCAAUGGAACAAACAAACCAAGA